RNAcentral lists this ribosomal RNA (497 nucleotides) under uncultured bacterium. RNAcentral's name for it is "partial 16S ribosomal RNA". It matches the Rfam family "Bacterial small subunit ribosomal RNA", at positions 28 to 507 of the family's 1533-position model. The record is from RNAcentral.
GAUGAACGCUGGCGGCGUGCCUAAUACAUGCCAGUCGAGCGAACGGACGAGAAGCUUGCUUCUCUGAUGUUAGCGGCGGACGGGUGAGUAACACGUGGAUAACCUACCUAUAAGACUGGGAUAACUUCGGGAAACCGGAGCUAAUACCGGAUAAUAUUUUGAACCGCAUGGUUCAAAAGUGAAAGACGGUCUUGCUGUCACUUAUAGAUGGAUCCGCGCUGCAGUAGCUAGUUGGUAAGGUAACGGCUUACCAAGGCAACGAUGCAUAGCCGACCUGAGAGGGUGAUCGGCCACACUGGAACUGAGACACGGUCCAGACUCCUACGGGAGGCAGCAGUAGGGAAUCUUCCGCAAUGGGCGAAAGCCUGACGGAGCAACGCCGCGUGAGUGAUGAAGGUCUUCGGAUCGUAAAACUCUGUUAUUAGGGAAGAACAUAUGUGUAAGUAACUGUGCAUAUCUUGACGGUACCUAAUCAGAAAGCCACGGCUAACUACGUG